Long non-coding RNA from Ornithodoros turicata, 628 nucleotides. RefSeq lists it as uncharacterized. Lineage: Eukaryota; Metazoa; Arthropoda; Arachnida; Ixodida; Argasidae. The record is from RefSeq and is a predicted model, not a curated record. The transcript has 9 exons.
CUGAUGGGUGCACAUGGUUCAUUCGUAUGUUCUUCCUUUGAAAAAAUAAACGUAUUUUGAUGCCAGAGCUGACUAAUGGGUGCACAUGGUUCCUUCGUAUGUUCUUCCUUUGAAAAAAUAAACGUAUUUUGGUGCCAGAGCUGACUGAUAGGUGCACGUGGUUCCUUUGUAUGUUCUUCUUUUGAAAAAAUAAACGUAUUUUGAUGCCUGAGAUGACUGAUGGGUGCACAUGGUUCCUUCGUAUGUUCUUCCUUUGAAAAAAUAAACGUAUUUUGGUGCCUGAGAUGACUGAUGGGUGCACAUGGUUCCUUCGUAUGUUCUUCCUUUGAAAAAAUAAACGUAUUUUGAUGCCUGAGAUGACUGAUGGGUGCACAUGGUUCCUUCGUAUGUUCUUCCUUUGAAAAAAUAAACGUAUUUUGGUGCCUGAGAUGACUGAUGGGUGCACAUGGUUCCUUCGUAUGUUCUUCCUUUGAAAAAAUAAACGUAUUUUGAUGCCUGAGAUGACUGAUGGGUGCACAUGGUUCCUUCGUAUGUUCUUCCUUUGAAAAAAUAAACGUAUUUUGGUGCCUGAGAUGACUGAUGGGUGCACAUGGUUCCUUCGUAUGUUCUUCCUUUGAAAAAAUAAACG